GUCCCCAUCGUCUAGCCAGGACCAGGACACCGCCCUUUCACGGCGGCAACACGGGUUCGAAUCCCGUUGGGGACGCCA
RNAcentral lists this transfer RNA (78 nucleotides) under Candidatus Latescibacteria bacterium 4484_7. RNAcentral's name for it is "tRNA-Glu". It matches the Rfam family "tRNA". From Rfam's summary of the family: Transfer RNA (tRNA) molecules are approximately 80 nucleotides in length. Their secondary structure includes four short double-helical elements and three loops (D, anti-codon, and T loops). Further hydrogen bonds mediate the characteristic L-shaped molecular structure. tRNAs have two regions of fundamental functional importance: the anti-codon, which is responsible for specific mRNA codon recognition, and the 3' end, to which the tRNAs corresponding amino acid is attached (by aminoacyl-tRNA synthetases). tRNAs cope with the degeneracy of the genetic code in two manners: having more than one tRNA (with a specific anti-codon) for a particular amino acid; and 'wobble' base-pairing, i.e. permitting non-standard base-pairing at the 3rd anti-codon position. RNAcentral also lists the same sequence under 1 other name. Lineage: Bacteria; Pseudomonadati; Candidatus Latescibacterota. The record is from RNAcentral.